This 387-nucleotide ribosomal RNA is filed under the name uncultured bacterium. RNAcentral describes it as "bacterial SSU rRNA". It matches the Rfam family "Bacterial small subunit ribosomal RNA", at positions 28 to 417 of the family's 1533-position model. The record is from RNAcentral.
GACGAACGCUGGCGGCGUGCUUAACACAUGCAAGUCGAACGGUGAACCUGCUUCGGUGGGGGAUCAGUGGCGAACGGGUGAGUAACACGUGGGCAACCUGCCCUCAGCUCUGGGAUAACUCCAAGAAAUUGGGGCUAAUACCGGAUAUGUCCGCUGACCGCAUGGUCUGGUGGUGGAAAGAUUUAUCGGCUGGGGAUGGGCCCGCGGCCUAUCAGCUUGUUGGUGGGGUAGUGGCCUACCAAGGCGACGACGGGUAGCCGGCCUGAGAGGGUGACCGGCCACACUGGGACUGAGACACGGCCCAGACUCCUACGGGAGGCAGCAGUGGGGAAUAUUGCGCAAUGGGCGAAAGCCUGACGCAGCGACGCCGCGUGGGGAUGACGGCCU